GAGCCGCAGCGUUUGAGGUGAAGUUCUGUGUUACACUCCGGCCGUGGCUACGAGGGGUCAGUGCAUCACAGAACUUUGUCUCGAGAGCUUC
MicroRNA precursor from Pelodiscus sinensis (Chinese soft-shelled turtle), 91 nucleotides. The record is from Ensembl. NCBI's taxonomy places the organism in Eukaryota, Metazoa, Chordata, Testudines, Trionychidae.